AAGGAAGUGGCAGAGUGGUUAUGCGGCUGGCUUGAAACCAGUAUAUGGGGGUUCAAUUCCUCCUUUCCUCG
Molecule: transfer RNA, 71 nt
Filed under: Cycleptus elongatus (blue sucker)
Lineage: Eukaryota; Metazoa; Chordata; Actinopteri; Cypriniformes; Catostomidae
Description: tRNA-Ser
Rfam family: tRNA
About the family: Transfer RNA (tRNA) molecules are approximately 80 nucleotides in length.
Source: RNAcentral